ACGCUCGACACCUACGGGAGGGCAGCAGUGAGGAAUAUUGGUCAAUGGGCGCAGGCCUGAACCAGCCAAGUAGCGUGAAGGAUGACUGCCCUAUGGGUUGUAAACUUCUUUUAUAUGGGAAUAAAGUUUUCCACGUGUGGAAUUUUGUAUGUACCAUAUGAAUAAGGAUCGGCUAACUCCGUGCUAGCAGCCGCGGUAAUCUGAGCGGGCUGGCAAGGC
This 219-nucleotide ribosomal RNA is filed under the name uncultured bacterium. Its description in RNAcentral is "partial 16S ribosomal RNA". It matches the Rfam family "Bacterial small subunit ribosomal RNA", at positions 328 to 539 of the family's 1533-position model. The record is from RNAcentral.